AAAAAUGUCACAUCAUUUUGUUAAACAGACAUGCUUGAGUGUAUGCUAAUUAUGUGUAUGAUACAAACCAUAUCUGUUUAUUUAAAGUUUUCAUAUUUUUAUAUCUUAUCAGGACGUAGCUAUAUUGAAUACAAUGCAAUGUCAGGAAAUAAUGUGAAGUAGAGCAAUGGUCUUUGUUUUUCUUCCCAUUUAAAUACCACUUCUUUUUAUCAAUAUUCAGAUCAAUAUCUUAGUUUUUGAACAUUACCUUAUAUAUCAGGUAAACAAGUACGUACAAUUUGAAGAAUAGGUUAAAAUGAAUGACACCAUUUUAAUACACGCAUUCAUUGAAAUCCUGCCGUUAUAAGAGCCCCUCCUUGUCUCUUUUAUGUUUUACAAAAAUGAUUUGAAAUGUCUUCUUUUAACAGUUUAAAUGAUUUGUACAAUGUGAUAGAUAUAAAAUAUUGAAUGUACAACCCG
Molecule: long non-coding RNA, 459 nt
Filed under: Mytilus galloprovincialis (Mediterranean mussel)
Lineage: Eukaryota; Metazoa; Mollusca; Bivalvia; Mytilida; Mytilidae
Source: RNAcentral